AUACGGAGGGUGCAAGCGUUAAUCGGAAUUACUGGGCGUAAAGCGUGCGUAGGCGGUUGUUUAAGUCAGAUGUGAAAGCCCCGGGCUUAACCUGGGAACUGCAUUUGAUACUGGGCAACUAGAGUUGAGUAGAGGGGAGUGGAAUUUCAGGUGUAGCGGUGAAAUGCGUAGAGAUCUGAAGGAACACCAGUGGCGAAGGCGGCUCCCUGGACUCAAACUGACGCUGAGGUACGAAAGCGUGGGUAGCAAACAGGAUUAGAUACCCUGGUAGUCCACGCCCUAAACGAUGUCGACUAGUUGUUGGACGGGUUACUGUUCAGUAACGAAGCUAACGCGUGAAGUCGACCGCCUGGGGAGUACGGCCGCAAGGUUAAAACUCAAAGGAAUUGACGGGGACCCGCACAAGCGGUGGAUGAUGUGGUUUAAUUCGAUGCAACGCGAAAAACCUUACCUACCCUUGACAUGCCAGGAACUUACCAGAGAUGGUUUGGUGCUCGAAAGAGAGCCUGGACACAGGUGCUGCAUGGCUGUCGUCAGCUCGUGUCGUGAGAUGUUGGGUUAAGUCCCGCAACGAGCGCAACCCUUGUCAUUAGUUGCUACGCAAGAGCACUCUAAUGAGACCGCCGGUGACAAACCGGAGGAAGGUGGGGAUGACGUCAAGUCCUCAUGGCCCUUAUGGGUAGGGCUACACACGUCAUACAAUGGGCGGUACAGAGGGUUGCCAACCCGCGAGGGGGAGCCAAUCCCUUAAAGCCGCUCGUAGUCCGGAUUGUAGUCUGCAACUCGACUGCAUGAAGUCGGAAUCGCUAGUAAUCGCGGAUCAGCUUGCCGCGGUGAUACGUUCCCGGGUCUUGCACUCACCGCCCUUCA
Molecule: ribosomal RNA, 870 nt
Filed under: uncultured bacterium
Lineage: Bacteria
Description: bacterial SSU rRNA
Rfam family: Bacterial small subunit ribosomal RNA
Source: RNAcentral